This 164-nucleotide ribosomal RNA is filed under the name uncultured bacterium. Its description in RNAcentral is "partial 16S rRNA". It matches the Rfam family "Bacterial small subunit ribosomal RNA", at positions 355 to 511 of the family's 1533-position model. The record is from RNAcentral.
UAGGGAAUCUUCCACAAUGGACGCAAGUCUGAUGGAGCAACGCCGCGUGAGUGAAGAAGGUCUUCGGAUCGUAAACUACUGUUGUUAGAGAAGAACACGAGUGAGAGUAACUGUUCAUUCGAUGACGGUAUCUAACCAGCAAGUCACGGCUAACUACGUGCCAG